RNAcentral lists this small RNA (827 nucleotides) under uncultured Rhodotorula. RNAcentral describes it as "eukaryotic LSU rRNA". The stretch from base 544 to 827 matches the Rfam family "Eukaryotic large subunit ribosomal RNA", at positions 1 to 281 of the family's 3401-position model. Lineage: Eukaryota; Fungi; Basidiomycota. The record is from RNAcentral.
CUUGGUCAUUUAGAGGAAGUAAAAGUCGUAACAAGGUUUCCGUAGGUGAACCUGCGGAAGGAUCAUUAGUGAAUUGAGCUGGCUUCGGCCGCUCUGAUCUAUACACACCUGUGAACUGUUGGCCUUCGGGUCUUUAAUUACAACUGUGACGAACGUAAAUUAUUAUAACAAAUAAAACUUUUAACAACGGAUCUCUUGGCUCUCGCAUCGAUGAAGAACGCAGCGAAAUGCGAUAAGUAAUGUGAAUUGCAGAAUUCAGUGAAUCAUCGAAUCUUUGAACGCACCUUGCGCUCCCUGGUAUUCCGGGGAGCAUGUCUGUUUGAGUGUCAUGAACUCUUCAACCCACCGGUUUCUUGUAAACUGGCUGGUGUUUGGUUUCUGAGUGUUGCUCGUCCUUGUGACUGAGCUCAUUCGUAAUAUAUGAGCAUCUCUAAUUCGAAUUCGGAUUGACUCAGUGUAAUAGACUAUUCGCUGAGGACACACCUAGUGUGGCCGAAUAAGAUAAUUGUAGAAGCUUCUAACCCUUCUAGUCAUUUUAAGAUUAGACCUCAGAUCAGAUAGGACUACCCGCUGAACUUAAGCAUAUCAAUAAGCGGAGGAAAAGAAACUAACAAGGAUUCCCCUAGUAACGGCGAGUGAAGCGGGAAGAGCUCAAAUUUGUAAUCUGGCACUUUCAGUGUCCGAGUUGUAAUCUCGAGAAGUGUUUUCCGCGCCGGACCGCAUACAAGUCUGUUGGAAUACAGCGUCAUAGUGGUGAGAACCCCGUAACUGAUGCGGAUGCCCGGUGCUUUGUGAUACACUUUCGAAGAGUCGAGUUGUUUGGGAAU